GCGACGUUCUUGUCAUCGCUGGCACCUCGCCUUACCUAGGUGUCAAGCGAUACCAGAGACGGAGUUUGGCUGUUCCAACACCUUAGCAAUCGGCCGCGAUUUAUGCCGCGUGAUUGUUGGCAUGCUUCAAACUUAUUUAUAAGGAAGUUAACACUUUGAAUGGUUGGAGAAAAUUUUAAAAGGUCUUUACAUCGCUGUUAAAUCAGUGGUACUCGAUUUUAUUAUAUCAACUCCAAAAGUAGGAAAGUUGAAGCUGAUAUUGGAGGAAUUUGAAUUGAGAACAUAAAAGCCGCAAGCAUUUCAUUAGAUGCCCUUCACCAGUCCUACUUAAAGUGGUGAUCCGCGAGCCAUCAGCUGCCAGUACGCGUCAUUGGAUUGCGGUUUUGGGAGGGGCACCGACUUGAAGUGUUUAGUCGAACAGAUCGACUACAGUACUUAGGAAACAUAAAAAAAUCCGGUACUUUUUGGUUAUCUCACUCCCAUUAAAAAAUUGGGCAGAUCUUUAACUUUUGACCGACAGAAUGUGUCAUAUAAAAUAUCUUCCACUCUUAGCGUUUUUGAGAAAAGCUUAUAUUUAGGAAGUUAUUUCACGUUAAAGAUGUAGUAUUUUGGUAAUUUCAACCAA
Molecule: long non-coding RNA, 625 nt
Organism: Octopus sinensis (East Asian common octopus)
Lineage: Eukaryota; Metazoa; Mollusca; Cephalopoda; Octopoda; Octopodidae
Exons: 3
Source: RefSeq, a predicted model, not a curated record